CAGCAGCCGCCGCGGUAAUACGAAGGUGCAAGCGUUACUCGGAAUUACUGGGCGUAAAGCGUGCGUAGGUGGUGGUUUAAGUCCGUUGUGAAAGCCCUGGGCUCAACCUGGGAAUUGCAGUGGAUACUGGGUCACUAGAGUGUGGUAGAGGAUAGUGGAAUUUCCGGUGUAGCAGUGAAAUGCGUAGAGAUCGGAAGGAACAUCUGUGGCGAAGGCGACUAUCUGGGCCAACACUGACACUGAGGCACGAAAGCGUGGGGAGCAAACAGGAUUAGAUACCCCGGUAGUCCCUGUCUCUUAUACC
RNAcentral lists this ribosomal RNA (304 nucleotides) under uncultured bacterium. Its description in RNAcentral is "partial 16S ribosomal RNA". It matches the Rfam family "Bacterial small subunit ribosomal RNA", at positions 506 to 808 of the family's 1533-position model. The record is from RNAcentral.